This 253-nucleotide ribosomal RNA is filed under the name uncultured bacterium. Its description in RNAcentral is "partial 16S ribosomal RNA". It matches the Rfam family "Bacterial small subunit ribosomal RNA", at positions 524 to 776 of the family's 1533-position model. The record is from RNAcentral.
UACGAACCGUGCGAACGUUAUUCGGAAUCACUGGGCUUAAAGCGCGCGUAGGCGGCUCGGAAAGUCGGUCGUGAAAUGCCGGGGCUCAACCCCGGGACUGCGUCCGAUACUCCCGAGCUGGAGGCAGGUAGGGGAGAUCGGAAUUCCUGGUGUAGCGGUGAAAUGCGCAGAUAUCAGGAGGAACACCGGUGGCGAAGGCGGAUCUCUGGGCCUUGACUGACGCUGAGGCGCGAAAGCUAGGGGAGCGAACAGG